UGCGCAGGCGGUUUUGUAAGACAGGUGUGAAAUCCCCGGGCUUAACCUGGGAACUGCAUUUGUGACUGCAAGGCUAGAGUAUGGCAGAGGGGGGUAGAAUUCCACGUGUAGCAGUGAAAUGCGUAGAGAUGUGGAGGAAUACCGAUGGCGAAGGCAGCCCCCUGGGUCAAUACUGACGCUCAUGCACGAAAGCGUGGGGAGCAAACAGGAUUAGAUACCCUGGUAGUCCACGCCCUAAACGAUGUCAACUAGGUGUUGGGGGAGGAGACUUCCUUAGUACCGCAGCUAACGCGUGAAGUUGACCGCCUGGGGAGUACGGCCGCAAGGUUGAA
RNAcentral lists this ribosomal RNA (332 nucleotides) under uncultured bacterium. Its description in RNAcentral is "bacterial SSU rRNA". It matches the Rfam family "Bacterial small subunit ribosomal RNA", at positions 568 to 898 of the family's 1533-position model. The record is from RNAcentral.